GUGCCAGCAGCCGCGGUAAUACGUAGGCAGCAAGCGUUGUUCGGAGUUACUGGGCGUAAAGGGUGCGUAGGCGGCCGAUUAAGUUUGUCGUGAAAUCUCCCGGCUCAACUGGGAGGGUGCGGCGAAUACUGAUGGGCUGGAGUGCGGGAGAGGAGAGUGGAAUUCCUGGUGUAGCGGUGAAAUGCGUAGAUAUCAGGAGGAACACCGGCGGUGUAGACGGCUCUCUGGACCGUAACUGACGCUGAGGCACGAAAGCGUGGGUAGCAAACAGGAUUAGAUACCCUGGUAGUCCACGCCCUAAACGAUGCACAUUUGGUGUGGGCGGUUCAGUCUGUCCGUGCCGGAGCUAACGCGUUAAAUGUGCCGCCUGGGGAGUACAGUCGCAAGGCUGAA
This 393-nucleotide ribosomal RNA is filed under the name uncultured bacterium. RNAcentral's name for it is "bacterial SSU rRNA". It matches the Rfam family "Bacterial small subunit ribosomal RNA", at positions 505 to 898 of the family's 1533-position model. The record is from RNAcentral.